AUGAAACCAUUUGUCCAGGGACAUCGUAAGAAACCUGGCAGCAGAAGCCCCAGUCUUAAUGUGGAAACCCUGAGACCAGCUCCCAUCUCAUCGAACAACAGCCUGGGCGAGUGGGGGAGAAAGGGCUGCGUGCCGAAACCCACCUGUAGCCAGAACACUCUCUCAGGCCGAGAAGAAGAGAGUUCAAAUUCCAAGCCAAAAGCCAGAACAGCCUUUUCUAACAGUGAGAAGGGAGAGAGGGGAGUCGGAAGAGGAGCUUACUUUGCCAAUGGGGUAAUGUCACCCCCAUCAAUACUGGGCCACUCUAAAGGGAAAGGUGUGUGCUCAGAUACUACCUCCUGCCACAACAUAUAUGGCGAGACGUCGUCAGAGAGCUACAGUUCCCCCUCCAGCCCCCAGCACGAUGGCAGAGAGAGCCUGGAGAGUGACGACGAGAAAGGCAAAGGUAAAUCUGAUCUGUAGUGUAAAAUAAGGGUUUCG
Molecule: long non-coding RNA, 480 nt
Organism: Electrophorus electricus (electric eel)
Lineage: Eukaryota; Metazoa; Chordata; Actinopteri; Gymnotiformes; Gymnotidae
Source: Ensembl